Molecule: ribosomal RNA, 250 nt
Filed under: uncultured bacterium
Lineage: Bacteria
Description: partial 16S ribosomal RNA
Rfam family: Bacterial small subunit ribosomal RNA
Source: RNAcentral
GGAUGGGAUGGCGGAAACCCUGACCCAGCGACGCCGCGUGAGGGAAGAAGGCCCUUGGGUCGUAAACUUCUUUUGUACGGGAAGAAUGAGAUGACGGUACCGUACGAAUAAGUCCCGGCUAACUACGUGCCAGCAGCCGCGGUAAUACGUAGGGGACGAGCGUUGUCCGGAAUUACUGGGCGUAAAGGGCGCGCAGGCUGCGCGUCGAGUCGGCUGCUAAAGAACCGGGCUCAACCCGGUGAUGCGGUCG